UACGGAGGGGGCUAGCGUUGUUCGGAAUUACUGGGCGUAAAGCGCACGUAGGCGGUUUCGUAAGUCAGAGGUGAAAGCCUGGAGCUCGACUCCAGAACUGCCUUUGAGACUGCGCGACUUGAAUCCAGGAGAGGUGAGUGGAAUUCCGAGUGUAGAGGUGAAAUUCGUAGAUAUUCGGAAGAACACCAGUGGCGAAGGCGGCUCACUGGACUGGUAUUGACGCUGAGGUGCGAAAGCGUGGGGAGCAAACAGG
Molecule: ribosomal RNA, 253 nt
Filed under: uncultured bacterium
Lineage: Bacteria
Description: partial 16S ribosomal RNA
Rfam family: Bacterial small subunit ribosomal RNA
Source: RNAcentral